AAAAAAGGGAAGAAGAAGAAGAAGCUAGAAACACAAAAAUAGAGCUAAUAUUUACAAUAUGACCUAAAGACUAUCAAUUAAAUAUGACAUUAGUUGUCAACCUCAACUACUUGAGUACGCACUUUGAUAUCACCAAGCAAUUGAUAAUUCCAAAUUUAACUUGAAAGCAAAAAAUCCAACUUACAUUGAAUGGUAGAUAAAAGAGCAAUAUUUACAUAGGCUUUUCCCCCUUAAGUGUAAUACUAUGUAUAAACUUCAUAAAAAUAUAACUUAUGCAUAUCAGCUGCAUAAAACUAUAUGCUGAGAGCUGAGUUCACAAAAUAAACUUCUGGACAUCAAAUGAGAAAUCAAACAACUAAAAUCCCAAGCAUACCCUUAAGCUAAGAGAUUCAUAAGAAGGAAAGACUCACAAUACAUAAAAAAGAAUACCAUAUUAUGAUGCCAACACUUCUUUCAUCUAUUGGAAUGUGGGAUCAAUUCAACAUAAACAUAUAAACCAUAAAAAUAGAUGGAAUGCUAAGGAACAAUGGCCAACAUGCUAAAGCCUUGAUUCAAGAAGACAACAUCAUGCAGAGACAAAUAAAACCCAAGGACUGGCUGGAAAGUAUCUUUAAAAGCAUCACCACAGAAUUGGGAAAGAAUGCAAGCCUAGAGAUGGAUGGAAACCAAAAGGAAUAAGGAAGAAUGAAAUAAGGACCCAACAAUUAGAGAACACAAACCU
This 721-nucleotide unclassified non-coding RNA is filed under the name Hevea brasiliensis (rubber tree). The record is from RNAcentral. Lineage: Eukaryota; Viridiplantae; Streptophyta; Magnoliopsida; Malpighiales; Euphorbiaceae.